CGUAAUCACUUGUCUUUUAAAUAAAGACUAGUAUGAAUGGCAUCACGAGAGUUCAACUGUCUCCCGCACCCAAUCAGUGAAACUGAUCUCCCCGUGCAGAAGCGGGGAUAAAACCAUAAGACGAGAAGACCCCAUGGAGCUUUAAACUAAAGGCACUAGCCCCUAAUUCACCCCUUAGGGUAAAACAUUUUAACCGGCUAAAGUGACCUGUCGUUUUCGGUUGGGGCGACCACGGAGAAAAACAAAUCCUCCGAGAUGAAAGGGACAACCCUUAGCCAAGACCAACAAUUCUAAGCAAUAGAACGUCUAACACACUGAUCCAAUCAGAUUGAUCAACGAACCAAGUUACCCUGGGGAUAACAGCGCAAUCUAUUUUCAAGAGUUCAUAUCGACAAAUAGGUUACGACCUCGAUGUUGGAUAAGGGCCCCCUAGCGGUG
Molecule: ribosomal RNA, 438 nt
Filed under: Bombina pachypus (Appenine yellow-bellied toad)
Lineage: Eukaryota; Metazoa; Chordata; Amphibia; Anura; Bombinatoridae
Description: partial 16S ribosomal RNA
Rfam family: Bacterial large subunit ribosomal RNA
Source: RNAcentral